CCUACGGGUGGCAGCAGUGAGGAAUAUUGGUCAAUGGACGAGAUUCUGAACCAGCCAAGUAGCGUGAAGGAUGACUGCCCUAUGGGUUGUAAACUUCUUUUAUAAAGGAAUAAAACGAGGCACGUGUGCCUUUUUGCAUGUACUUUAUGAGUAAGGAACGGCUAGCUCCGUGCCAGCAGCCGCGGUAAUACGGAGGGUCCGAGCGUUAUCCGGAUUUAUUGGGUUUAAAGUGAGCGUAGACGGGUUGUUAAGUCAGUUGUGAAAGCUUGAGGCUCAACCGUAAAAUUGCAAUUGAUACUGGCAGUCUUGAGUAUAGUUGAGGUAGGCGGAAUUCGUGGUGUAGCGGUGAAAUGCUUAGAUAUCACGAAGAACACCGAUUGCGAAGGCAGCCUACUAAACUGUGACUGACAUUGAUGCUCGAAAGUGUGGGUAUCAAACAGGAUUAGAUACCCCUGUAGUC
This 460-nucleotide ribosomal RNA is filed under the name uncultured bacterium. Its description in RNAcentral is "partial 16S ribosomal RNA". It matches the Rfam family "Bacterial small subunit ribosomal RNA", at positions 338 to 795 of the family's 1533-position model. The record is from RNAcentral.